This 253-nucleotide ribosomal RNA is filed under the name uncultured bacterium. Its description in RNAcentral is "partial 16S ribosomal RNA". It matches the Rfam family "Bacterial small subunit ribosomal RNA", at positions 524 to 776 of the family's 1533-position model. The record is from RNAcentral.
UACGUACUGUGCGAACGUUAUUCGGAAUCACUGGGCUUAAAGGGUGUGUAGGCGGCCGUUUAAGUAGGGUGUGAAAGGCCUCGGCCUAACCGAGGCAUUGCGCUCUAAACUGAUCGGCUUGAGUGAGAUAGGGGUGUGCGGAACUUCCAGUGGAGCGGUGAAAUGUGUUGAUAUUGGAAGGAACGCCGGUGGCGAAAGCGGCACACUGGGUCUUGACUGACGCUGAGACACGAAAGCCAGGGGAGCGAACGGG